CAGCAGUGAGGAAGGUGGGUAUGUUAAUAGCAUACUCAUUUGACGUUAGCUGCAGAAGAAGCACCGGCUAACUCCGUGCCAGCAGCCGCGGUAAUACGGAGGGUGCGAGCGUUAAUCGGAAUUACGUGGGCGUAAAGCGCAUGCAGGUGGUUUGUUAAGUCAGAUGUGAAAGCCCGGGGCUCAACCUCGGAAUUGCAUUUGAAACUGGCAAACUAGAGUACUGUAGAGGGGGUAGAAUUUCAGGUGUAGCGGUGAAAUGCGUAGAGAUCUGAAGGAAUACCGGUGGCGAAGGCGGCCCCCUGGACAGAUACUGACACUCAGAUGCGAAAGCGUGGGGAGCAAACAGGAUUAGAUACCCUGGUAG
RNAcentral lists this ribosomal RNA (364 nucleotides) under uncultured bacterium. Its description in RNAcentral is "bacterial SSU rRNA". It matches the Rfam family "Bacterial small subunit ribosomal RNA", at positions 434 to 793 of the family's 1533-position model. The record is from RNAcentral.